CCUACGGGUGGCAGCAGUCGAGAAUCAUUCACAAUGGGGGAAACCCUGAUGGUGCGACGCCGCGUGGGGGAAUGAAGGUCUUCGGAUUGUAAACCCCUGUCAUGUGGGAGCAAAUUAAAAAGAUAGUACCACAAGAGGAAGAGACGGCUAACUCUGUGCCAGCAGCCGCGGUAAUACAGAGGUCUCAAGCGUUGUUCGGAAUCACUGGGCGUAAAGCGUGCGUAGGCUGUUUCGUAAGUCGUGUGUGAAAGGCGCGGGCUCAACCCGCGGACGGCACAUGAUACUGCGAGACUAGAGUAAGGGAGGGGGAACCGGAAUUCUCGGUGUAGCAGUGAAAUGCGUAGAUAUCGGGAGGAACACUCGUGGCGAAGGCGGGUUCCUGGACAUUAACUGACGCUGAGGCACGAAGGCCAGGGGAGCGAAAGGGAUUAGAUACCCUUGUAGUC
Molecule: ribosomal RNA, 446 nt
Filed under: uncultured bacterium
Lineage: Bacteria
Description: partial 16S ribosomal RNA
Rfam family: Bacterial small subunit ribosomal RNA
Source: RNAcentral